Molecule: transfer RNA, 61 nt
Filed under: Pseudosuccinea columella
Lineage: Eukaryota; Metazoa; Mollusca; Gastropoda; Lymnaeidae
Description: tRNA-Gly
Source: RNAcentral
UUUUCUAUAGUAUAUAAGUACAGCUACCUUCCAAGUAGAAAGACUAAGUUUAGUAGUUACU